AUACGUAGGGGGCGAGCGUUGUCCGGAAUGAUUGGGCGUAAAGGGCGCGUAGGCGGCCCGGUAAGUCUGGAGUGAAAGUCCUGUUUUUAAGAUGGGAAUUGCUUUGGAUACUGUCGGGCUUGAGUGCAGGAGAGGUAAGUGGAAUUCCCAGUGUAGCGGUGAAAUGCGUAGAGAUUGGGAGGAACACCAGUGGCGAAGGCGACUUACUGGACUGUAACUGACGCUGAGGCGCGAAAGUGUGGGGAGCAAACAGGAUUAGAUACCCUGGUAGUCCACGCCGUAAACGAUGGGCGCUCGUCGUCGGCGGCAGACAGUCGGCGGCCAAGCGAAAGCGAUAAGCGCCCCACCUGGGGAGUACGGUCGCAAGGCUGAAACUCAAAGGAAUUGGCGGGG
RNAcentral lists this ribosomal RNA (393 nucleotides) under uncultured bacterium. Its description in RNAcentral is "partial 16S ribosomal RNA". It matches the Rfam family "Bacterial small subunit ribosomal RNA", at positions 523 to 918 of the family's 1533-position model. The record is from RNAcentral.